RNAcentral lists this long non-coding RNA (682 nucleotides) under Olea europaea subsp. europaea. The record is from RNAcentral. Lineage: Eukaryota; Viridiplantae; Streptophyta; Magnoliopsida; Lamiales; Oleaceae.
UGGGGAGAAAAAAAAUGAGAGAAUAAGAAGAGAGUAGUUGUUGAAUUUCUCAACAAAUUUACUGAAAUGUCAAAUGAUCAAAAACUGAAGAACUAUUUCCACCAUUCUGUAUCUAUAUGCUCAAUACAGAAAUUGCAUUACUAAACACAAUAAAGAAAAUGUUUUUUAACUAAAACUUAUUACAAUUUCAUUUAAUCAAAAUGGCAUCGUAUGACUCGAACCUAAACAACAUUGCAUGCUUUUGAAUUUCAGUUACUUUUGUUGGCUGCUUCUUUCCCCUUAUUUCUUUUGGUUCUGAUUCUUUUCCUUUCCCAAUUACUCUUCACGUGAUAAUCCUUCCCUUCACAUUGAUCUUGUCCCCAAAAUCUACAGAGAGGAAGAUGCAAUUUGAUCCAAUCCACAUCUUCCCAUGUUGCACAAUCUAGGGUAGAAUCUGACCAAUGAAUAAGCCACGAGAUGGUGGUGUUAUUUUUGUGUGCAACGGUCCUGCACUGUAGGAUGGAUGAUGUGUUGGUAGUUUAGACUUACACUCAUGAGGCAAUUGAAGUACUGGCAUUGCCCUGUCACUUAACAACUUCUUCAACAAUGAAACAUGAAAGAUUGGAUGAAUUUUGGAGCUGGUUGGAAGUGCCAAUUUGUAUGCCACAGUGCCUAACUUCUUGGUAAUCUGAUACGGUCCAAA